This 1809-nucleotide long non-coding RNA is filed under the name Bos grunniens (domestic yak). RNAcentral describes it as "lncRNA (ENSBGRG00000000115.1)". The record is from RNAcentral. Lineage: Eukaryota; Metazoa; Chordata; Mammalia; Artiodactyla; Bovidae.
AGCAGCAAAAAGGCCCAGCACAAAGGAAAUGAUCUGUCAAAGGUAGCCAGUCUCACCUGUCCUUCCUGUGUGCUCACCUGUCCCUUCUGUGUGCUCACCUGUCCUUCCUGUGUGCUCACCUGCCCUUCCUGUGUGCUCACCUGUCCUUGCUGUGUGCUCACCUGCCCUUCCUGUGUGCUCACCUGCCCUUCCUGUGUGCUCACCUGUCCCUGUGUGCUCACCUGUCCUUGCUGUGUGCUCACCUGUCCCUGCUGUGUGCUCACCUAUCCUUCCUGUGUGCUCACCUGUCCUUCCUGUGCUCACCGUCCCUCCUGUGUGCUCACCUGUCCCUCCUGUGCGCUCACCUGUCCUUCCUGUGUGCUCACCUGUCCUUCCUGUGUGCUCACCGUCCUCCUGUGUGCUCACCGUCCCUCCUGUGCGCCACCUGUCCUUCCUGUGCUCACCUGCCCUUCCUGUGUGCUCACCUGUCCUUGCUGUGUGCUCACCUGCCCUUCCUGUGUGCUCACCUGCCCUUCCUGUGUGCUCACCUGUCCCUGUGUGCUCACCUGUCCUUGCUGUGUGCUCACCUGUCCCUGCUGUGUGCUCACCUAUCCUUCCUGUGUGCUCACCUGUCCUUCCUGUGCUCACCGUCCCUCCUGUGCUCACCUGUCCCUCCUGUGCUCACCUGUCCUUCCUGUGUGCUCACCUGUCCUUCCUGUGUGCUCACCGUCCCUCCUGUGUGCUCACCUGUCCCUCCUGUCGCUCACCUGUCCUUCCUGUGUGCUCACCUGCCCUUCCUGUGUGCUCACCGUCCCUCCUGUGUGCUCACCUGUCCUUCCUGUGCGCUCACCUGUCCUUGCUGUGUGCUCACCUGCCCUUCCUGUGUGCUCACCGUCCCUCCUGUGUGCUCACCUGUCCUUCCUGUGCACUCACCUGUCCUUCCUGUGUGCUCACCUGCCCUUCCUGUGUGCUCACCUGUCCUGUGUGCUCACCUGUCCUUGCUGUGUGCUCACCUGUCCCUGCUGUGUGCUCACCUAUCCUUCCUGUGUGCUCACCUGUCCUUCCUGUGUGCUCACCGUCCUCCUGUGUGCUCACCUGUCCCUCCUGUGCGCUCACCUGUCCUUCCUGUGUGCUCACCUGUCCUUCCUGUGUGCUCACCGUCCCUCCUGUGUGCUCACCGUCCCUCCUGUGCGCUCACCUGUCCUUCCUGUGUGCUCACCUGCCCUUCCUGUGUGCUCACCUGUCCUGUGUGCUCACCUGUCCUUCCUGUGCGCCACCUGUCCUUGCUGUGUGCUCACCUGCCCUUCCUGUGUGCUCACCGUCCCUCCUGUGUGCUCACCUGUCCUUCCUGUGCACUCACCUGUCCUUCCUGUGUGCUCACCUGCCCUUCCUGUGUGCUCACCUGUCCCUGUGUGCUCACCUGUCCUUGCUGUGUGCUCACCUGUCCCUGCUGUGUGCUCACCUAUCCUUCCUGUGUGCUCACCUGUCCUUCCUGUGUGCUCACCGUCCCUCCUGUGUGCUCACCUGUCCCUCCUGUGCGCUCACCUGUCCUUCCUGUGUGCUCACCUGUCCUUCCUGUGUGCUCACCGUCCCUCCUGUGUGCUCACCUGUCCCUCCUGUGUGCUCACCUGCCCUUCCUGUGUGCUCAGGUACCCCUGGCAUCUCUGUGUGUGUCCACACUUCCUCUUCUUAAGGGACACCUGGAUUAGGGGCCACCCUAAGGACCUCAUUUUAACUAACUUCCUUAUAGGCUCUGUCUCCAAAGUCAGUCACAUUCCGAGGUCCUGGGGGUCAGGGCUUCAAUAUAUGAAUCUGGGGGGACAAAAUUAA